GCAGCAGGCCGUUUCAUCGUUCCCGGCCCUAAGGCCGGGGAAGGAAAGUCCGGACAACGCAGAGCGCCAUGCUUCCUAACGGGAAGAUAUCCGCAAGGGUAUGGUUAGUGUAACAGAAAAUAACCUCCCCGACCGUAGCGUCGGGGGAAGGGUGAAAAGGUGAGGUAAGAGCUCACCGGUUCCGGUGGCAACACCGGGAGCCGUACACCUCAUGGGUUGAAAGACCAUGUAUACCGGCAAUAAGGGCUGCUCGUCCGAUGCCGGGGGGUAGGUCGUAUGAUCCUGCAAGUGAUUGCGGGACAAGAUAAAUGAUGAAAACCGGCCGGAAUAUCUCUCGCAGAUGACCCGGCAGGAACAGAAUCCGGCUUACAGGCCGGCUGCUUAA
Molecule: RNase P RNA, 385 nt
Filed under: Bacteroidales bacterium
Lineage: Bacteria; Pseudomonadati; Bacteroidota; Bacteroidia; Bacteroidales
Description: RNase P RNA component class A
Rfam family: Bacterial RNase P class A
About the family: Ribonuclease P (RNase P) is a ubiquitous endoribonuclease, found in archaea, bacteria and eukarya as well as chloroplasts and mitochondria.
Source: RNAcentral